RNAcentral lists this long non-coding RNA (677 nucleotides) under Marmota monax (woodchuck). Lineage: Eukaryota; Metazoa; Chordata; Mammalia; Rodentia; Sciuridae. The record is from RNAcentral.
GUGCUCGGCUGCAAGAACCUCGUCCACCCCCACCCUGUGUCCCGCUGUUGCAGGACUCGGGUCCGCCCCGCCCGGAGGCCGGGAUGGGCGCGGGGGUGGCUGCCCAAAGUAUCUGCACUCUUAGGCCUCUCUGUGAACCGCUGCAGGCAGGGGGACUGGCGGUCAGCAGGAAGCGGGAAGACCGGGCAGGACCUUGCCAGGGAGUUUGCGGGAAGGAAGUGGGGCGGGGGCGGGCCGCACCCCUCCCCGGGCUCCUGCACCCCGCGCCCCAGCACCCCGCGCUCCCGGCUCCCCAGCCCCUCGGACCCGCCUCAGCGGCGUCUCCCCGGGUCCCCCCGCGCGCGUUGACGUCGUCGCGGGGCCGCCCGGAGCUCCAGGCAUUGGCUGGGAAGUCGAUUGUCUUGGGCGGCUGCUUUACCCUUCGGCGGGGUCUCGAGUCCCGGAGGAAGCAGGCGUGUGUGGAAUUCUCUCCGACCCUCGCGGCGGAAUAAACAGGAAGCGAAGAGCACCCAGCCCGGCCCACACUUGCCUUUGUUGAGGGGUCUGCCCCGCACAGCCCUGAGGAGGCUGCCCCGGACCCCCGCCCGAUGCGCCGCCCCGGGUGGGGCUGGGGGCGCGCCCUGUGAGCAGGUUGGUGGGAGUCGGUGGGCUCUGUUUAGGUCAGUCGCUAAGGUGGC